GCUCUCUUCACUUCCUGCCUCCUUGAAUCUCAAGAGGGGCGGAGCUGCUUUCCUGCAGGCAAUUGGAACCUGGGCAUUUUUGUCACAAUAAAGGGGAGCCUUAUUGGCAUUUGGUGGCGCUGGCCCGCCAUGCUGGGCAUCCUGUAAGGUAGUCCUGGGCCACAAGGGAUUGUCUUAGCAAGCUUUCAGAUGUCCCGUUGGAAGUUCAUGCAGGUGAAUGCGUUGCAUUAAUUCUCAGAGCUAGGACCAGCUUUCUUCUAUGUAUAAAAAUAAAGUUUUUGCAAGUCUCUCUUCUUUUCUUUUCUUCCCACCAUUUUUCCCCUUCCCUUUCUUCUGCUACAGACUCUUGCUGUGUGCUCCAUUUUAUUUACAACGAGUUUUUUUUUUCUUUUGUUUUUUGUUUCUUUAAGAUCCUUCUUUCCUUCUUUUCCUCGGGCUCUUGCUAUGGGCCCCAUGCUGACCUUGAAUUUGUAAUCCUUCUGCCUCCAGUCUCUUCCCAAGAACAGGGAUUGCAUUCACCAUCAUGGCCAGAUGUAGUUUUUACUGCAACAAAAAAUCUAUACAUACAAUAUCCCAGGCACCAUUUGAAACAUUUCUAAGUGAACAACAUCAGUGGCUUUCAUUGCAUUCAGAAUGUUGUGCAACCAUCGUCCCUGCCAAUUUCCAAAUCUUUUCCAUGGCUCCAAACCGAGCUGGUGUAGCCAGGAAGCAGGAACUCCCAUGCCGCCUUCUCUAGCCAGGGUUUCCUCUGAUCUACUUUCGGUCUCCGGGAGCUUGUGUGUUCUCGGUAUUUCAGGUGAGUGGAAGCAGACAGUGUUUGGCCUUUGUUUUGUUGACAGCUGAUGGGAAAGUUGCCAAACCACACUGAGUCCCACGCCUGCUGUUUGAGUCAUCAUGAAAUACGAAGGCACCAGUCUGUGCUAAUGACGGCCUCGAAAUCAAGCAACAUGGCUGUGCAUGCAUUUAACACUGUAUGUUUUGUCAUGUAACUGUGUCCCAACAUCCACAUGCCCAAAUGUGUAUUAUUUUGUAUGCUUCACAUUCUUUCUGAUUCUAAAAAUUAUGUUAGACAGCAUAUUGAUUUAAGUUUAGGAAGGGCGCAUUACAAGAGAUUUAUUACAGAAAGGAACACUGGGUGGGGUGGGCUGAGAUAUAUUCAGCCAUUUCUUUCCUAUAAUCAGUCACAGACAACCAGUCCUGGGAUAUCUGUGGAAAUGAAAUUCUGCCUUGUCUUUGGACACCUACAUGGCCAGUCCACAUUCCUCAAGCAGUAGAUCUUCAAACCACUGGCUCUGUUGACCUUUGGUCACUCCUCGGCUGUUGCCGUCUGCGAGUCUUGACUUUUGUGUCUUCACUGUUGGGCACCGCUGUUACUACCGCUCCUGGCCUACAAUGAGCGAAGAGUGUUCUAGAAGUUUGGUGAGAAGUUCAGUUCUUGACUUGAAGCGGGGCUUUGUGUGGAAGGACUUGGCUCAUCUGAAGGCUAAUUGUCCAUGGAUACCAGAAGAGGGCAUCGAAUUUCUGGAACUGGAGUUACAGACAGUUGUGAACUACCAUGUGGGUUCUGGGAACCCAGCCUGCAUCCCCUGCAAGGAGCAGUCAAUGCUUUUAACCGCUGAGCCAUCUCUUCACUCCCAGAGUUAUAUUUUAAACAUUCUUAAAUCCUCCAAUGAGUCUGAGUCUUUCUACUAUGAGAAACCUAUCCAUCAGAAAAAUGAAGGUGAUACAGAUUUCAGAAGACAGAGUAUCCAUUACCCCUAAUAAUCCAUUAGUCACCCCAGAGAAACAUCUGCAAUGCUGCCCGUUUGGAAAAAUGGGGUCAGCUCUAUUAUUAGACUUUCCCAAGAGAAUCUAUUCCUUGGGGGUUGCCACAGUGAACAUUUAUACAGGA
Non-coding RNA from Peromyscus maniculatus bairdii (prairie deer mouse), 1891 nucleotides. NCBI's taxonomy places the organism in Eukaryota, Metazoa, Chordata, Mammalia, Rodentia, Cricetidae. The record is from RefSeq and is a predicted model, not a curated record.